Molecule: ribosomal RNA, 301 nt
Filed under: uncultured bacterium
Lineage: Bacteria
Description: partial 16S ribosomal RNA
Rfam family: Bacterial small subunit ribosomal RNA
Source: RNAcentral
CAGCCGCCGCGGUAAUACGUAGGGUCCGAGCGUUGUCCGGAAUUACUGGGCGUAAAGCGCGCGUAGGCGGUUACUCAAGUCAGAGGUGAAAGCCCGGGGCUCAACCCCGGAACUGCCUUUGAAACUAGGUGACUAGAAUCUUGGAGAGGUCAGUGGAAUUCCGAGUGUAGAGGUGAAAUUCGUAGAUAUUCGGAAGAACACCAGUGGCGAAGGCGACUGACUGGACAAGUAUUGACGCUGAGGUGCGAAAGCGUGGGGAGCAAACAGGAUUAGAUACCCGCGUAGUCCCUGUCUCUUAUAC